This is a long non-coding RNA of Pipistrellus kuhlii (Kuhl's pipistrelle), 390 nucleotides long. RefSeq lists it as uncharacterized. The record is from RefSeq and is a predicted model, not a curated record. The transcript is spliced from 2 exons. NCBI's taxonomy places the organism in Eukaryota, Metazoa, Chordata, Mammalia, Chiroptera, Vespertilionidae.
AACAAGUAAAGCUUAAUCCUACACCAGCUUUAAGAAUCCUAGAUAACUCCGACAUCCUUUACCUAGAAUGAUUUCUCUCACAAGCACAUAACUCAGGUUAAAAACACCUUAAGAGCAUCCAAACACUGACCCACAAAGAUUAUAAUGAGUUUUUCUGUCACACCUAGCUUACAACCAUUGCUAAAAAGAACAAGAAAUACCUACUGUUGUUAACAGGUAGGUGUGGGAUCUUGAAUACUACUAGCUAGGAGGGAUGAGGGGGGAUGAAGAUACACACACUGCUGGCAAAGUCCAAUAAUUAAUAGAUGUACAUCUUACUAUUUAAAUCUAAGUGCAAAUUUGGCUAUUCACAGUAGACUCUAAAUGAAGGUAAAUAGGUUAAGUUCGAAG